UGAAUACGAGACGCUAAGGCGUCGAAGUAGUGUAUGUCAUACUUCCAAAAAAGCUUGCACUGUCAUAGAUAAAAAACGCCUGUACCAUAACCGACACAGGUGGGUAGGUAGAGUAUACUAAGGGGCGCGAGAUAACUCUCUCUAAGGAACUCGGCAAAAUAACUCCGUAACUUCGGGAGAAGGAGUGCCUUAUUCGUAAGGUUGCAAUAACAAGAUCCAAGCAACUGUUUAUCAAAAACACAGGUCUCCGCUAAGUCGUAAGACGAUGUAUGGGGGCUGACGCCUGCCCAGUGCCAGAAGGUUAAAGAAGUUGGUUAGCAAUUGCGAAGCUGAUAACUGAAGCCCUGGUGAACGGCGGCCGUAACAAUAACGGUCCUAAGGUAGCGAAAUUCCUUGUCGGGUAAGUUCCGACCCGCACGAAAGGCGUAAUGAUUUGGAUACUGUCUCGGAGAGGGGCUCGGUGAAAUAGACUUGUCUGUGAAGAUGCGGACUACCUGCACCAGGACAGAAAGACCCUAUGAAGCUUUACUGUAACUUGAAAUUGAAAUUGGACUUUAUUCGCGCAGUAUAGGUGGGAGGCGUUGAUUAUAAUCUUGUGGGAUUAUUGGAGCCAUCAGUGAGAUACCACUCUUGUAAUGUUAGAUUUCUAACUUUGAAUCAUUAUCUGGUCAAAGAACAGUUUCAGGCGGGCAGUUUGACUGGGGCGGUCGCCUCCUAAACGGUAACGGAGGCGUACAAAGGUUUCCUCUGAACGGUUAGAAAUCGUAUCUAGAGUGUAAAGGCAUAAGGAAGCUUGACUGUGAGACCUACAAGUCGAGCAGGGACGAAAGUCGGUCUUAGUGAUCUGACGGUACUGAGUGGAAAGGCCGUCACUCAACGGAUAAAAGUUACUCUAAGGAUAACAGGCUGAUCUCCCCCAAGAGUUCACAUCGACGGGGAGGUUUGGCACCUCGAUGUCGGCUCAUCGCAUCCUGGGGCGGUAGUACGUCCCAAGGGUUGGGCUGUUCGCCCAUGAAAGCGGUACGCGAGCUGGGUUCAGAACGUCGUGAGACAGUUCGGUCCAUAUCCGGUGUAGGCGUUAGAAUAUUGAGAGGAGCCUUCUUUAGUACGAGAGGACCGAGAAGGACAUACCUCUGGUGUACCAGUUAUCGUGCCAACGGUAAACGCUGGGUAGCUAUGUAUGGAGUGGAUAACCGCUGAAAGCAUCUAAGUGGGAAGCCCCCCUCAAGAUAAG
This 1234-nucleotide ribosomal RNA is filed under the name metagenome. RNAcentral's name for it is "bacterial LSU rRNA". It matches the Rfam family "Bacterial large subunit ribosomal RNA", at positions 1564 to 2808 of the family's 2925-position model. The record is from RNAcentral.